UACGUAGGUGGCAAGCGUUGUCCGGAUUUAUUGGGCGUAAAGAGCUCGUAGGCGGUUUGGUAAGUCGGAUGUGAAAUCUCCAGGCUCAACCUGGAGGGGUCAUUCGAUACUGCCAUGACUAGAGUUCGGUAGGGGUGUGUGGAAUUCCUGGUGGAGCGGUGAAAUGCGCAGAUAUCAGGAGGAACACCCGUAGCGAAGGCGGCACACUGGGCCGAUACUGACGCUGAGGAGCGAAAGCGUGGGGAGCGAACAGG
This 254-nucleotide ribosomal RNA is filed under the name uncultured bacterium. RNAcentral describes it as "partial 16S ribosomal RNA". It matches the Rfam family "Bacterial small subunit ribosomal RNA", at positions 524 to 776 of the family's 1533-position model. The record is from RNAcentral.